Molecule: ribosomal RNA, 447 nt
Filed under: uncultured bacterium
Lineage: Bacteria
Description: bacterial SSU rRNA
Rfam family: Bacterial small subunit ribosomal RNA
Source: RNAcentral
AACGAACGCUGGCGGCAGGCCUAACACAUGCAAGUCGAGCGCGCCCUUCGGGGUGAGCGGCGGACGGGUUAGUAACGCGUGGGAACGUACCUUUCGGUAAGGAAUAGCCUCUGGAAACGGAGAGUAAUACCUUAUACGCCCUUUGGGGAAAGAUUUAUCGCCGAGGGAUCGGCCCGCGUUAGAUUAGAUAGUUGGUGGGGUAACGGCCUACCAAGUCUACGAUCUAUAGCUGGUUUUAGAGGAUGAUCAGCAACACUGGGACUGAGACACGGCCCAGACUCCUACGGGAGGCAGCAGUGGGGAAUCUUGGACAAUGGGGGCAACCCUGAUCCAGCCAUGCCGCGUGAACGAUGAAGGCCUUAGGGUUGUAAAGUUCUUUCAGCAGGGACGAAAUGACGGUACCUGCAGAAGAAGCCCCGGCUAACUCCGUGCCAGCCGCCGCGGUAA